GGAGCAGUCGCCGGAGGAAUCGUUGCUGGAAGACGUGCGGUUGA
This 44-nucleotide transfer RNA is filed under the name uncultured Amoebophrya. Its description in RNAcentral is "partial Selenocysteine transfer RNA". Lineage: Eukaryota; Dinophyceae; Syndiniales. The record is from RNAcentral.